RNAcentral lists this unclassified non-coding RNA (234 nucleotides) under plant metagenome. Its description in RNAcentral is "partial contains small subunit ribosomal RNA, internal transcribed spacer 1, and 5.8S ribosomal RNA". The record is from RNAcentral.
UUUCCGUAGGUGAACCUGCGGAAGGAUCAUUACUGAGUUAGGGCCCCCUGCGUCCAACCCCACACCCGUUUUUAUAGUACCUUGUUGCUUCGCUGAGCCCGCCUCACGGCCGCCGGGGGGCAUCUGCCCCCGGGCCCGCGCUCGCCGAUGACACCCUCGAACUCUGUCUGCAGUUCGCAGUCUGAGCGAAAAAAAAAUAACUUAAAACUUUCAACAACGGAUCUCUUGGUUCCG